UUUUUUUUUAUUUUAUUUUGUUUUGUUUUGCUUUGUUUUGUUUUGGGGGUAAAUACCCAGUAGUACAAUUGCUGGGUCACAGGGUAGCUCUAUUUUUAACUUUCUGAUGAACCCCCAUACUGUUUUUCAGAGUGGCUGCAUUAAUUUGUGUCCCCACCAAGUGUCACAGGGUUCCUUUUUUUUUUCCCCACAUCCUCCAUAACAUUUUGCUGUUUCUUGCGUUUUUGAGUUUAGCUAUUUUGACAGGUGUGAGGUUGGAGAGCUCACAGUAGUUUUGAUUGGCAUUCCUCUGAUGAUUAGUGAUGAUGAACAUCUUUUCACGUCUCUGUUCACCAUCUGUUUGUUUUCUUUGGAUAAAUGUCUGUUUGUGUCAAUUUUUUAAUUGGAUUGUUUUUUGGGCGUUGAGAUUUUUAAGUUCUUUAUAUAUUUUGGAUACUCUUUAUCAGAUAUAUCAUUUGCAAAUAUCUUCUCCCAUUCAGCAGGCCGUCUUUUAGUUUGUUGUUUCCUUUGCUGUGCACAAACUUAUCUUGAGGGACACCUGGGGGGCUCAGUGGUUGAGCAUCUGCCUUCGGCUCAGGGUGCAAUCCCAGGGUCCUGGGAUCGAGUCCCAUAUCAGGCUCCCUGCAUGAAGCCUCCUUCUCCCUCUGCCUGUGUCUCUGCCUCUGUCUCUCAUCUCUUGUGAAUAAAUAAAUAAAAAUAUUUUUUUUAAAAAAGAAAUUUAUCUUGAGGUAAUCCCAAUAGCUUAUUUUUGCUUUUAUUCCCCUUGCCUCAGGAGACAUAUCUAGAAAAAUGUUGCUAUAUAGAGAAAUUACUGCUUGUGCUGUCUUCUAGGACUUUUAUGGCUUCAGGUCUCACAUUUAGGUCUUUGUUUUUAGGUCUUUAAUCCAUUUUGAAUUUAUUUUUCUGUAUGACAUAAGAAGGUGGUCCAGUUUCCCAACACCAUUCAUUGAAGAGACUAUAUUUUUCCCAUUAUAUGUUCUUUCUCUACUUUGUCAAAGAUUGUCAAAGAUUGACCAUAUAUGUGGGUAUAUUUCUGGGUUUUCUAUUCUGUUCCAUUGAUCUAUAUGUCUAUUUUUGUGCCAAUACCAUACUGUUUGAUUAUAUCAGUUGUGUAAUAUAACUUUGAUUCAGGAAUUAUCAUACCUUCAUUUUUGUUUUUCAAGAUUGCUUUGGCCAUUUGGAGUCUUUUGUGAUUCUGUACAAAUUUUAGGAUUUUUGUCCUAGAUCUGUCAAAAAUGUUGUCGGUAUUUUGAUAGGGAUUCAUUAAACCUGUAGACUGCAUGAACAAGGACUGUCUUUCCAUUGCUUCAUGCAUUCUUCAAUUUCUUUCAUUAGUGUCUUAUAGUUUUCACAGUAGAGGUCUUUCACCUCUUUGGUUAGGUUUUUCCCUAGAUAUCUUACUAUUUUUAGUGCAAUUAUAAAUGAGAUUAUUAUUUCUACUGCUUCAUUAUUAGUGUAUAGAAAUAAAACAGAUUUCUAUAUAUUGAUUUUGUAUCCUACAACUUCACUGAAUUCAUUUAUCUGUUAUACCAGUUAUUUUGAUGGCAAUUUUAUGGUUUUUGUUUUUUUUUCACUUAUUCCUUACCAUUUUAUAUGUUUUUCAUUUGUUUUCUUGUCAUCUAAUUGCUGGGGCUAGGACUUCCAGUGCUGUGUUGAAAUAGAAGUGGUGAGAGUGGACCACCUUAUGUUGUUCCUGACCUUAGGAGAAAAGUGCUCAGUUUUUUGUUUUUUGUUUUUUUUUUUUCCACUGAGUAUGAUGUUAACUGUGGAUUUCCCAUAUAAAGCCUUUAUUAUGUUAAGGUAUCUAUUCUCUAAACCUACUUUGUUGAGGGUUUUUAUUGUGAAUGGAUAUUGUACUUUGUCAAAAUGUUUCUGCAUCUAUUGAAAUGAUCAUAUAUUUUUUAUCCUUUCUCCUAUUGAUGUGAUGUCUCAUGUUGAUUGAUUUGCAAAUAUUGAACCACCUUCCUAUCCUGGGAGUAAAUCCCACUUGAUCAUUGUGAAUGAUUUCCUUUUCAUGGAUUGUUGGAUUCAGUUUGCUAGUAUUUUGUUGAGGAUUUUUUCAUAUAUGUUUAUCAGAGACACUGCCCUGUAGUUCUCUUUUUUAGUAAUGUCUUUAUCUGGUUUUGGUAUCAGGGUAAUGCUAGCCGCAAAGAAUAAUUUUGGAAGUUUUCCUUCCUCUUCCAUUUUAUGGAAUAGUCUGGAAAAAAUAGGUACUAACUCUUCUUUAAAUGUUUGGUAAAGGGAUACCUGGGUGGCUCCGUGGUUGAACCUCUGCCUUCGGCCCAGGGCGUGAUCCUGAAGUCCUGGGAUCGGGUCCCACAUCAGGCUCCCUGCAUGGAGCCUGCUUCUCCUUCUGCCUGUGUCUCUGCCUCUCUGUGUGUGUGUGUCUCUCAUGAAUAAAUAAAUACAAUCUUUAAAAAAAUGUUUGGUAAAAUUCCCCUGUGAAGCUGUCUGUUCUUGGACUUUUGUUUUUUUGGGAGUUUUUUGAUUACUAAUUCAAUUUCCUUACUAAUAAUCAGUAUGUUCAAAUUUUGUAUUUCCCCCAUUUCAGUUUUGCUAGGUUACACGUUUCUCAGAAUGUUUCCAUUUCUUCUAUGUUGUCCAAUUGUCAGCAUGUAAUUUUUCAUAAUAUCCUCUUAUAAUUGUUUGUAUUUCUCUGCUGUUUCUUAUUUCUCCUUUCUCAUUUAUGAUUUUUUUAGUCUUUUAUUUAUUUGGCUAGAGGUUUAUCAAUUUUGUUGAUCUAUUCAAAGAACCAGCUCCUGGUUUCAUUGAUCUAUUCUACUGGGGUUUGGUAUGUUUCUUUUGGUUGUUUGUUUUGUUGUUGUUCAGUUACUAUACCAUUUGUUUCUGACUUGUAAUCCCUUUUUCAAAUCAGUAACAAAUUACUAAUUCUGCAGUUUCUCUAAGGCACACCACAUAAAUUGGCAAAAAAAAAAAA
RNAcentral lists this long non-coding RNA (2938 nucleotides) under Canis lupus familiaris (dog). RNAcentral's name for it is "lncRNA (ENSCAFG00000056386.1)". Lineage: Eukaryota; Metazoa; Chordata; Mammalia; Carnivora; Canidae. The record is from RNAcentral.